RNAcentral lists this ribosomal RNA (498 nucleotides) under uncultured bacterium. RNAcentral's name for it is "partial 16S ribosomal RNA". It matches the Rfam family "Bacterial small subunit ribosomal RNA", at positions 28 to 523 of the family's 1533-position model. The record is from RNAcentral.
GAUGAACGCUAGCUACAGGCUUAACACAUGCAAGUCGAGGGGUAGCAGGGUAGCAAUACCGCUGACGACCGGCGCACGGGUGAGUAACACGUAUCCAACCUUCCCAUAACUCGGGGAUAGCCUUUCGAAAGAAAGAUUAAUACCCGAUAGUACUUAACAAAGGCAUCUUUGAUAAGUUAAAGAUUUAUUGGUUAUGGAUGGGGAUGCGUUCCAUUAGAUAGUUGGUGAGGUAACGGCCCACCAAGUCUUCGAUGGAUAGGGGUUCUGAGAGGAAGGUCCCCCACAUUGAUACUGAGACACGGACCAAACUCCUACGGGAGGCAGCAGUGAGGAAUAUUGGUCAAUGGGCGAGAGCCUGAACCAGCCAAGUAGCGUGAAGGAUGAAGGUCCUAUGGAUUGUAAACUUCUUUUAUAGUAGAAUAAAGUGAUCCACGUGUGGAUUUUUGUAUGUAUACUAUGAAUAAGGAUCGGCUAACUCCGUGCCAGCCGCCGCGGUAA